UGAUCCUGGCUCAGAACGAACGCUGGCGGCGUGCUUAACACAUGCAAGUCGGAUGCGAACGGCGCUUUCGGGCGUUGAGUAGCAUGGCAGACGGGUGAGGAGCGCGUAUCUGACUGGACUCAGGCUGGGGGAUAGUCCCUCGAAAGGGGGUUGAAUACCGCAUGUGCUCGGUGCUGUGAGGGCAUCGAGGAAAGUUGGCCUCUGCGGGCACGCUGAUGGCCUGAGACAGGGAUGCGUCCUAUUAGCUAGCUGGUGGGGUAAGGGCCUACCAGGGCGACGAUGGGUAGCUGGUCUGAGAGGAUGAUCAGCCACACUGGGACUGCGACACGGCCCAGACUCCUACGGGAGGCAGCAGUGGGGAAUUUUGCGCAAUGGGCGCAAGCCUGACGCAGCAACGCCGCGUGCAUGACGACGCCUUUCGAGGUGUAAAGUGCUGUCGACCGGGACGAAGGGGCGAGGGUGAACAGCUUUCGCGCAUGACGGUACCGGUGGAGGAAGCCCCGGCUAACUCCGUGCCAGCAGCCGCGGUAAGACGGAGGGGGCGAGCGUUGUUCGGAAUUACUGGGCGUAAAGCGCGCGUAGGCGGUGCAGCAAGUGGUGCGUGAAAGCCCUCGGCUUAACCGGGGACGGGCGUGCCAAACUGUUGGACUGGAGUGCCGGAGGGGGAGGCGGAAUUCCUGGUGGAGCGGUGAAAUGCGUAGAGAUCAGGAAGAACGUCGGUGGCGAAGGCGGCCUCCUGGACGGACACUGACGCUGAGGUGCGACAGCGUGGGGAGCGAACGGGAUUAGAUACCCCGGUAGUCCACGCCGUAAACGAUGGGUACUAGGUGUGGGGCUUGUGAUGAGGCCCGUGCCGGAGCUAACGCCAAAGUAAGUANNCCCCCGGCACUGGGGAGNUACGGUCGCAAGGCUGAAACUCAAAGGAAUUG
RNAcentral lists this ribosomal RNA (929 nucleotides) under uncultured organism. Its description in RNAcentral is "bacterial SSU rRNA". It matches the Rfam family "Bacterial small subunit ribosomal RNA", at positions 14 to 912 of the family's 1533-position model. The record is from RNAcentral.